This 400-nucleotide unclassified non-coding RNA is filed under the name uncultured fungus. Its description in RNAcentral is "sequence contains ITS1". The stretch from base 1 to 107 matches the Rfam family "5.8S ribosomal RNA", at positions 49 to 154 of the family's 154-position model. Lineage: Eukaryota; Fungi. The record is from RNAcentral.
UGAAUUGCGAAAAGUAAUGUGACUUGCAUACAUCUGUGAAUCAUCGAAUCUUUGAACGCACAUGGCACCGUUAGGUUCUGCCUAACGGUAUACUUGUUUGAGAAUCGUAUUAUCAUUUCGUUCCCCGCUCUGCGGAGAACGGUAUUGAGGCCUUAAAGCGGUACCAAGUUCGGUACCGGUUUGGUCUUUAAAAGCAUGGCUUUACGAGUCCGUGGCCAAUGCGGUCGUCGUGGGCACUGUGUGGUAAGGUGUGCAUAACGCCAAUAGCACUUUGUCCCUGGCGGUCGCACAUGCGACUCCAAGCCCUUUAUCAAUCGAGCCUUCACGGGCCUGAUUCGCAAGGUGCAGCAUUGCUCGUCAAUGCUGCAAGCCUUGGUUUACCGAUCUCAAAUCAAGCAAG